RNAcentral lists this long non-coding RNA (400 nucleotides) under Capsicum annuum. RNAcentral describes it as "long non-coding RNA (CANN_LNC007126)". The record is from RNAcentral. Lineage: Eukaryota; Viridiplantae; Streptophyta; Magnoliopsida; Solanales; Solanaceae.
UGGGAUGGUAAAGCAUAAAAUCAAUUCUGGCGCUGACCGCCACCGGUACUAGAUGAUGUGCCCUGAGAAAAAACUGGGCGACCUAGAUGAGAUGGGCAUUACAAGCCUAAGUCUGGAGACGAAUAUCUCUAUUUCCCUACUUAGCAUGCGGAUACUCUUUGAUUCCGUGACCCAAACUUACCACAACCAUAACAACCUUUCUGUCCCAACAAACACUAACCAAGAUGAUUCUUGCUAUAUUUAGCACAUGGAGGAUAACUGGGUUUUCCACUCAUACUAUUCUGAGAUCUGUACAUAGAAGUCUUACCCCACUGCUCUUGCGUAGCUAUGGUGGAGCACUAGCUGAAGAUAAAGCUGGCAUCAAUGAACGAUGUUGAAACUGUGAAUAAUUUCCCUUUCC